This 253-nucleotide ribosomal RNA is filed under the name uncultured bacterium. RNAcentral's name for it is "partial 16S ribosomal RNA". It matches the Rfam family "Bacterial small subunit ribosomal RNA", at positions 524 to 776 of the family's 1533-position model. The record is from RNAcentral.
UACGAAGGGGGCUAGCGUUGCUCGGAAUCACUGGGCGUAAAGGCGCGUAGGCGGCCAUUCAAGUCAGAGGUGAAAGCCCAAGGCUCAACCUUGGAAUUGCCCCUUGAUACUGUUUGGCUUGAGACCGGAAGAGGUUAGUGGAACUGCGAGUGUAGAGGUGAAAUUCGUAGAUAUUCGCAAGAACACCAGUGGCGAAGGCGGCUCACUGGCCCGGUACUGACGCUGAGGUGCGAAAGCGUGGGGAGCAAACAGG